UGGGGAAUUUUACGCAAUGGGCGAAAGCCUGACGUAGCGACACCGCGUGAGCGAAGAAGCCUUUUGGGGUGUAAAGCUCUGUCGGCUGGGAAGAAAAAAAUGACGGUACCAGCAAAGGAAGCAUCGGCUAACUACGUGCCAGCAGCCGCGGUAAGACGUAGGAUGCAAGCAUUGUCCGGAUUUAUUGGGCGUAAAGAGUUCGUAGGCGGUUUGUUAAGUCUAAUGUUAAAGAUCAGGGCUCAACCCUGGGACUGCAUUGGAUACUGGCAGACUGGAGUGUGGUAGAGGUAAGUGGAAUUUCUGGUGUAGCGGUGAAAUGCGUAGAUAUCAGAAAGAACACCAGUGGCGUAGGCGACUUACUGGGCCAUAACUGACGCUGAGGAACGAAAGCCAGGGGAGCAAAUGGGAUUAGAUACCCGCGUAGUCC
This 427-nucleotide ribosomal RNA is filed under the name uncultured bacterium. RNAcentral's name for it is "bacterial SSU rRNA". It matches the Rfam family "Bacterial small subunit ribosomal RNA", at positions 355 to 796 of the family's 1533-position model. The record is from RNAcentral.